RNAcentral lists this unclassified non-coding RNA (258 nucleotides) under uncultured fungus. Its description in RNAcentral is "partial contains 5.8S ribosomal RNA, internal transcribed spacer 2, and large subunit ribosomal RNA". The stretch from base 1 to 52 matches the Rfam family "5.8S ribosomal RNA", at positions 103 to 154 of the family's 154-position model. The record is from RNAcentral. Lineage: Eukaryota; Fungi.
AACGCACAUUGCGCCCGCCAGUAUUCUGGCGGGCAUGCCUGUUCGAGCGUCAUUUCAACCCUCAAGCCCCUCCGGGCUUGGCGUUGGGGAUCGGCCUCCGCUCCGGCGGCCGGCCCCGAAAUCGAGUGGCGGUCCCGCCGCGGCUUCCUCUGCGUAGUAAAACACCUCGCACUGGGACGCGGCGCGGCCACGCCGUAAAUCAGACGAAUCUUUCUGAAGGUUGACCUCGGAUCAGGUAGGAAUACCCGCUGAACUUAA